UGGCGAACGGGUGAGUAACACGUGAGUAACCUGCCCUUGACUUUGGGAUAACUUCAGGAAACUGGGGCUAAUACCGGAUAGGAGCUCCUGCUGCAUGGUGGGGGUUGGAAAGUUUCGGCGGUUGGGGAUGGACUCGCGGCCUAUCAGCUUGUUGGUGGGGUAAUGGCCUACCAAGGCGGCGACGGGUAGCCGGCCUGAGAGGGUGUACGGCCACAUUGGGACUGAGAUACGGCCCAG
Molecule: ribosomal RNA, 237 nt
Filed under: uncultured Propionibacterium sp.
Lineage: Bacteria; Bacillati; Actinomycetota; Actinomycetes; Propionibacteriales; Propionibacteriaceae
Description: partial 16S ribosomal RNA
Rfam family: Bacterial small subunit ribosomal RNA
Source: RNAcentral